Molecule: ribosomal RNA, 253 nt
Filed under: uncultured bacterium
Lineage: Bacteria
Description: partial 16S ribosomal RNA
Rfam family: Bacterial small subunit ribosomal RNA
Source: RNAcentral
UACGGAGGGUGCAAGCGUUAUCCGGAUUCACUGGGUUUAAAGGGUGCGUAGGUGGGUCUGUAAGUCAGUGGUGAAAUCUCCGGGCUUAACCUGGAAACUGCCAUUGAUACUAUAGCUCUUGAAUUUUCUGGAGGUAAGCGGAAUAUAUCAUGUAGCGGUGAAAUGCUUAGAUAUGACAUAGAACACCAAUUGCGAAGGCAGCUUGCUACAGGAACAUUGACACUGAGGCACGAAAGCGUGGGGAUCAAACAGG